RNAcentral lists this transfer RNA (87 nucleotides) under Balneolaceae bacterium. Its description in RNAcentral is "tRNA-Leu". It matches the Rfam family "tRNA". From Rfam's summary of the family: Transfer RNA (tRNA) molecules are approximately 80 nucleotides in length. The record is from RNAcentral. Lineage: Bacteria; Pseudomonadati; Balneolota; Balneolia; Balneolales; Balneolaceae.
GCCCGGGUGGCGGAAUUGGUAGACGCGCCGGACUCAAAAUCCGGUGGCAGCGAUGUCGUAAGGGUUCGAGUCCCUUCCCGGGUACAA